CGCCUGCCGGCGACCGGCGCACGGGUGAGUAACACGUAUGCGACCUGCCCCCGCAGGGGGAUAACCGGGAGAAAUCCCGACUAAUACCGCGUAACGCCGCGGACCUGCAUGGGUCUGCGGCCAAAGGAAGCGAUUCCGGCGGGGGAUGGGCAUGCGGCGCAUUAGCUAGUCGGCGGGGUAACGGCCCACCGAGGCGACGAUGCGUAGGGGUUCUGAGAGGAAGGUCCCCCACACUGGUACUGAGACACGGACCGGACUCCUACGGAAGGCAGCAG
This 275-nucleotide ribosomal RNA is filed under the name uncultured bacterium. RNAcentral describes it as "partial 16S ribosomal RNA". It matches the Rfam family "Bacterial small subunit ribosomal RNA", at positions 82 to 354 of the family's 1533-position model. The record is from RNAcentral.